This 628-nucleotide ribosomal RNA is filed under the name uncultured Bacteroidota bacterium. RNAcentral describes it as "bacterial SSU rRNA". It matches the Rfam family "Bacterial small subunit ribosomal RNA", at positions 259 to 884 of the family's 1533-position model. The record is from RNAcentral. Lineage: Bacteria; Pseudomonadati; Bacteroidota.
UACGGCCCACCAAGGCUUACGAUCAGUAUGGGUUUUCUGAGAGGAAGGUCCCCCACAUUGGUACUGAGACACGGUCCCGACUCCUACGGGAGUCGGCAGUGAGGAAUAUUGGUCAAUGGGCGAGAGCCUGAACCAGCCAAGUAGCGUGCAGGAUGACGGCCCUAUGGGUUGUAAACUGCUUUUAUGUGGGGAUAAAGUGCGUGACGUGUCAUGCAUUGCAGGUACCACAUGAAUAAGGACCGGCUAAUUCCGUGCCAGCAGCCGCGGUAAUACGGAAGGUCCGGGCGUUAUCCGGAUUUAUUGGGUUUAAAGGGAGCGUAGGCUGUCUAUUAAGCGUGUUGUGAAAUUUACCGGCUCAACCGGUGGCUUGCAGCGCGAACUGGUCGACUUGAGUAUGCAGGAAGUAGGCGGAAUUCAUGGUGUAGCGGUGAAAUGCUUAGAUAUCAUGACGAACUCCGAUUGCGCAGGCAGCUUACUGUAGCAUAACUGACGCUGAUGCUCGAAAGUGCGGGUAUCAAACAGGAUUAGAUACCCUGGUAGUCCGCACGGUAAACGAUGGAUGCUCGCUAUUCGUCCUAUUUGGAUGAGUGGCCAAGUGAAAACAUUAAGCAUCCCACCUUGGGAUACG